RNAcentral lists this ribosomal RNA (460 nucleotides) under uncultured bacterium. RNAcentral describes it as "partial 16S ribosomal RNA". It matches the Rfam family "Bacterial small subunit ribosomal RNA", at positions 338 to 795 of the family's 1533-position model. The record is from RNAcentral.
CCUACGGGUGGCAGCAGUGAGGAAUAUUGGUCAAUGGACGCAAGUCUGAACCAGCCAUGCCGCGUGCAGGAAGACGGCUCUAUGAGUUGUAAACUGCUUUUGUACGGGGGUAAACGCAGGUACGCGUAUCUGUCUGAGAGUAUCGUACGAAUAAGGAUCGGCUAACUCCGUGCCAGCAGCCGCGGUAAUACGGAGGAUUCAAGCGUUAUCCGGAUUUAUUGGGUUUAAAGGGUGCGUAGGCGGGCGGAUAAGUUAGAGGUGAAAGCCCGAGGCUCAACUUCGGAAGUGCCUCUGAUACUGUCCGGCUAGAGAGUAGGUGCGGUAGGCGGAAUGCAUAGUGUAGCGGUGAAAUGCUUAGAUAUCAUACAGAACACCGAUUGCGAAGGCAGCAUACCGGGCUACUUCUGACGUUGAGGCACGAAAGCGUGGGGAGCAAACAGGAUUAGAUACCCCGGUAGUC